UACAGAGGUCUCAAGCGUUGUUCGGAAUCACUGGGCGUAAAGGGUGCGUAGGCCGCACGGUAAGUCAGAGGUGAAAUCCCGGAGCUCAACUUCGGAAUUGCCUCCGAUACUGCCGUGCUUGAGGACUGGAGAGGGGAUUGGAAUUCACAGUGGAGCAGUGAAAUGCGUAGAUAUUGUGAGGAACACUAGUGGCGAAGGCGAAUCUCUGGACAGUUCCUGACGCUGAGGCACGAAGGCCAGGGGAGCAAACGGG
Molecule: ribosomal RNA, 253 nt
Filed under: uncultured bacterium
Lineage: Bacteria
Description: partial 16S ribosomal RNA
Rfam family: Bacterial small subunit ribosomal RNA
Source: RNAcentral